This 407-nucleotide ribosomal RNA is filed under the name uncultured bacterium. RNAcentral describes it as "partial 16S ribosomal RNA". It matches the Rfam family "Bacterial small subunit ribosomal RNA", at positions 28 to 526 of the family's 1533-position model. The record is from RNAcentral.
GACGAACGCUGGCGGCGUGCCUAAUACAUGCAAGUAGGACGCAGUUGCGAACGGGGGAGUAACGCGUAGGUAACUACCUAUUAGAGGGGGGUAACUAUUGGAAACGAUAGCUAAUACCGCAUACUAGUAGAUGGACCUGCGUUGUAUUAGCGAGUAGGUAGGGUAAUGGCCUACCUAGGCAACGAUACAUAGCCGACCUGGGAGGGUGGUCGGCUAAACUGGGACUGGGACACGGCCCAGCAUCCCACGGGAGGCAGCCGUAGGGAAUCUUCGGCAAUGGGGUGAACCCUGACCGAGCAACGGCGCGUGAGUGAAGAAGGUUUUCGGGUCGUAAAACUCUGUUGUUAAGGAAGCGGUACUUAACCAGAAAGGUACGGCUAACUACGUGCCAGCAGCCGCGGUAAUAC